CCUACGGGAGGCAGCAGUGAGGAAUAUUGGUCAAUGGCCGGAAGGCUGAACCAGCCAUGCCGCGUGAAGGUCAGUGCCCUAUGGGCGUUAAACUUCUUUUGUGCGGGAGCAAUAAUGGUCACGUGUGGCCAGACGAGAGUACCGUACGAAUAAGCAUCGGCUAACUCCGUGCCAGCAGCCGCGGUAAUACGGGGAGUGCAAGCGUUAUCGGGAUUUAUCGGGUUUAAAGGGGGCGUAGGCUGUGAGGUAAGUCAGCGUGGAAAUGCCCCGGCUCAACGGGGUGAAGUGCCAUUGAUACUGGCUUGCUGGAGUGCGGAUGCCGUGGGAGGAAUGUGUGGUGCAGCGGUGAAAUGCAUAGAUAUCACACAGAACACCGAUUGCGAAGGCAUCUCACGAAUCCGCGAUUGACGCUGAUGCACGAAAGCGUGGGUAUCAAACAGGAUUAGAUACCCGAGUAGUC
This 460-nucleotide ribosomal RNA is filed under the name uncultured bacterium. RNAcentral's name for it is "partial 16S ribosomal RNA". It matches the Rfam family "Bacterial small subunit ribosomal RNA", at positions 338 to 795 of the family's 1533-position model. The record is from RNAcentral.